CUGGGGACGACCCCAGUGCAUUCUCUCAUCCGGGGACGGCCCCA
This 44-nucleotide non-coding RNA is filed under the name Alishewanella agri. RNAcentral's name for it is "Guanidine-II sequence". It matches the Rfam family "Guanidine-II riboswitch aptamer (mini-ykkC)". From Rfam's summary of the family: Simpler in structure and has fewer highly conserved nucleotide positions than the ykkC-yxkD leader. Despite this each of its two stem-loop structures directly bind free guanidine. RNAcentral also lists the same sequence under 1 other name. Lineage: Bacteria; Pseudomonadati; Pseudomonadota; Gammaproteobacteria; Alteromonadales; Alteromonadaceae. The record is from RNAcentral.